This 910-nucleotide long non-coding RNA is filed under the name Lathyrus oleraceus (garden pea). Its description in RNAcentral is "Pisum sativum (pea) long non-coding RNA (PSAT_LNC023340)". Lineage: Eukaryota; Viridiplantae; Streptophyta; Magnoliopsida; Fabales; Fabaceae. The record is from RNAcentral.
AAAAGCCCUUUUCAUAAGCGCUUAAAGAACUGAAAAAUAACUAAUAAGUUAAUCAGUUUAGCACUUUAUCCAGAAGUCCAACAUGAAUACUCAAAAAAGCAUUUCGAAAAUGGCUUAAAACAGUAACACAUUUAUAAAAAUGAAAUCCACAAUAACCGGGAAUGAAAAGGCAUAAUAAACAGAGUUUUUUUUUAGGCUUAAAAAAUUCAUCUGUGAAAAGAUCAUCAGAUAUAAGAUAACGCAGCAGAAAAAUCCAGAAAGGAACUUUAUUCAAAAAAAACUCAAGUUUUCAAAAAAUCUAAGAGAGUUUUCUCGUUGAAACUCUGGCCUAGGUGAGGUUAGAUCCUCCUACCUCUUCAAAAGCGCAACAGUAUUAGAGGAGAGAAGAAAAGUGUUGAUUUACCUGAAAGCCCUACUGGACGGUAAAACCCCUUGCCUCUCAUUUUUAAAAAGAACUUGCAUAAUAUUCAUUUAUACUGGAUUUCGCACUGUCUAUCUCGUUUGCUCGCUCCUGGGUGUUUGUCGUUUGAACUCCGGUUUGAGCGAACCCCUUAGCAUUUCGUUCUUUGGAAUCCUCGAUUCGGACUUCGAUCCUUCCUCGCUUGAUCUUUCUUGGUUGUUCUUCGUACUCGUUGGCUCAGGGCGAAUCGGUUUUGUGUUAAGGGUUUAGGGAUUUUUAGAGGUUGGAUUCGAACUCGAAAGGGGGUAUUUAGAGGAUUAAGUUGUGUUUUGAGGAGGGUGGUCGGAGAAGAAGGGAGGCUCCACGUAAGCCAUCGCCUUCGGCGGUCUUCUCCGGGAGGAAAGAAACUUUUUAGGGUUUGCUAAGUUUUGGAACGACUGAAAACUGCAGAGAGAGAAAAGCUAUUGAGAAAGCAACGAUGCCUUUUCCUUUUUCUGUUUUAAGUUUAAC